RNAcentral lists this ribosomal RNA (434 nucleotides) under uncultured Lachnospiraceae bacterium. Its description in RNAcentral is "partial 16S ribosomal RNA". It matches the Rfam family "Bacterial small subunit ribosomal RNA", at positions 341 to 792 of the family's 1533-position model. The record is from RNAcentral. Lineage: Bacteria; Bacillati; Bacillota; Clostridia; Lachnospirales; Lachnospiraceae.
ACGGAAGGCAGCAGUGGGGAAUAUUGCACAAUGGGCGAAAGCCUGAUGCAGCGACGCCGCGUGAGUGAAGAAGUAUCUCGGUAUGUAAAACUCUAUCAGCAGGGAAGAAAAUGACGGUACCUGACUAAGAAGCCCCGGCUAACUACGUGCCAGCAGCCGCGGUAAUACGUAGGGGGCAAGCGUUAUCCGGAUUUACUGGGUGUAAAGGGAGCGUAGACGGUUUGGCAAGUCUGAAGUGAAAUGCGGGGGCUCAACUCCUGAACUGCUUUGGAAACUGUCGAACUAGAGUGCAGGAGAGGUAAGUGGAAUUCCUAGUGUAGCGGUGAAAUGCGUAGAUAUUAGGAGGAACACCAGUGGCGAAGGCGGCUUACUGGACUGUAACUGACGUUGAGGCUCGAAAGCGUGGGGAGCAAACAGGAUUAGAUACCCUGGUA